ACCAAUGUUUUUAUUCGUAUUGGAAAGCAAAAUGAAGCUGCUUUGGAAAUAAUUUUGCAAUUGAAAUCAGUCGGAGCCCCUGACAAAUCUAGUGUUCAUUGGUUGAAGUUAAUAAUCUGAGGAAACUCAUUCAUUAACACAAUAACUAGGUUUGAGUGUCAUAUUGCUUUAAGACAGUUUACAAUGUUUUUAUAUUUCUACAAAUGCUUUCAUCUGACAUCAUCACUGUCAUUUUAAGACUGUAAAAGUGAUUUUGAUUGGUGGCCAUCAAAUGAAAAAGCGACAUGUCUCAUUAAAUAUCGAGCAUUUAGUAAAUAUUCCAAAGAUGUCUGAAGCAUUCUGAGGCUGUCUGAAAAAUAUACUGAAGAUUCUUAAAAGUUCAGACCAAUGUUUUUAUUCGUAUUGGAAAGCAAAAUGAAGCUGCUUUGGAAAUAAUUUUGCAAUUGAAAUCAGUCGGAGCCCCUGACAAAUCUAGUGUUCUUUGGUUGAAGUUAAUAAUCUGAGGAAACUCAUUCAUUAACACAAUAACUAGGUUUGAGUGUCAUAUUGCUUUAAGACAGUUUACAAUGUUUUUAUAUUUCUACAAAUGCUUUCAUCUGACAUCAUCACUGUCAUUUUAAGACUGUAAAAGUGAUUUUGAUUGGUGGCCAUCAAAUGAAAAAGCGACAUGUCUCAUUAAAUAUCGAGCAUUUAUUAAAUAUUCCAAAGAUGUCUGAAGCAUUCUGAGGCUGUCUGAAAAAUAUACUGAAGAUUCUUAAAACAGAUUUGAAUUUGCCAUCGACGUCAUCGCACUUUGGAUGAAUGCGGCGCUUUAAAUAUUUUACUUGAUUUAUAUAAAAAAUUAAGAAAC
Molecule: long non-coding RNA, 850 nt
Organism: Ctenocephalides felis (cat flea)
Lineage: Eukaryota; Metazoa; Arthropoda; Insecta; Siphonaptera; Pulicidae
Exons: 5
Source: RefSeq, a predicted model, not a curated record